AUCCGAGCCUCGACUGCCGAGCAUCUGCUGUAAUCCACUGUUCCCGCCGCGCGGUGCGUCAGUGCGGGCAGCGGAGCGCGAUGCGGGGAGUGUGUGGCGCACGCGUGUGUGAUAUGACGCGACGGAUGAGCGGCACGGCAGAUUAGAGCGCGUUAGAGAGCGCAGCCGCUCCGCUGAUCCGUGCUAACGGUGUGUGUUCCUCCGCAGGGCCGCGUCAGGACCAAGACGGUGAAGAAGGCCGCUCGGGUCAUCAUUGAGAAGUACUACACCCGGCUGGGCAGUGACUUCCACACCAACAAGCGCGUGUGUGAGGAGAUCGCCAUCAUCCCCAGCAAGAAGC
This is a long non-coding RNA of Carassius carassius (crucian carp), 340 nucleotides long. RefSeq lists it as uncharacterized. The transcript has 2 exons. The record is from RefSeq and is a predicted model, not a curated record. NCBI's taxonomy places the organism in Eukaryota, Metazoa, Chordata, Actinopteri, Cypriniformes, Cyprinidae.